UACGGAGGGAGCUAGCGUUGUUCGGAUAUACUGGGCGUAAAGCGCACGUAGGCGGCGCAGCAAGUCAGGGGUGAAAUCCCGGAGCUCAACUCCGGAACUGCCUUUGAAACUGCAGUGCUAGAAUCCUGGAGAGGCGAGUGGAAUUCCGAGUGUAGAGGUGAAAUUCGUAGAUAUUCGGAGGAACACCGAUGGCGAAGGCAAUCCCCUGGACCUGUACUGACGCGCAUGCACGAAAGCGUGGGGAGCAAACAGG
Molecule: ribosomal RNA, 253 nt
Filed under: uncultured bacterium
Lineage: Bacteria
Description: partial 16S ribosomal RNA
Rfam family: Bacterial small subunit ribosomal RNA
Source: RNAcentral